GAAUAUUGGACAAUGGGGGAACCCCUAUCCAGCCAUGCCCCGUGGGGGAAAGAGGCCCUUUGGUUUUUAAGCACUUUUAGGCGAGAGGGAGAGCCUCUGGUUUAUACCCCAAGUGGCUUGACGUUACCCGCCGAAUAAACCCCGGCCUACUCCGUGCCCGCAGCCGCGGUAAUACAGAGGGUGCAAGCGUUAAUCGGAUUUACUGGGCGUAAAGCGCGCGUAGGUGGCCAAUUAAGUCAAAUGUGAAAUCCCCGAGCUUAACUUGGGAAUUGCAUUCGAUACUGGUUGGCUAGAGUAUGGGAGAGGAUGGUAGAAUUCCAGGUGUAGCGGUGAAAUGCGUAGAGAUCUGGAGGAAUACCGAUGGCGAAGGCAGCCAUCUGGCCUAAUACUGACACUGAGGUGCGAAAGCAUGGGGAGCAAACA
This 423-nucleotide ribosomal RNA is filed under the name uncultured bacterium. Its description in RNAcentral is "partial 16S ribosomal RNA". It matches the Rfam family "Bacterial small subunit ribosomal RNA", at positions 359 to 774 of the family's 1533-position model. The record is from RNAcentral.